This 742-nucleotide ribosomal RNA is filed under the name uncultured bacterium. RNAcentral describes it as "bacterial SSU rRNA". It matches the Rfam family "Bacterial small subunit ribosomal RNA", at positions 94 to 823 of the family's 1533-position model. The record is from RNAcentral.
AGCGGCGGAUGGGUGAGUAACACGUGGGGAACCUGCCCCUAAGUCUGGGAUACCAUUUGGAAACAGGUGCUAAUACCGGAUAAUAAAGCAGAUCGCAUGAUCAGCUUUUGAAAGGCGGCGUAAGCUGUCGCUAAGGGAUGGCCCCGCGGUGCAUUAGCUAGUUGGUAAGGUAACGGCUUACCAAGGCGACGAUGCAUAGCCGAGUUGAGAGACUGAUCGGCCACAUUGGGACUGAGACACGGCCCAAACUCCUACGGGAGGCAGCAGUAGGGAAUCUUCCACAAUGGACGCAAGUCUGAUGGAGCAACGCCGCGUGAGUGAAGAAGGUUUUCGGAUCGUAAAGCUCUGUUGUUGGUGAAGAAGGAUAGAGGUAGUAACUGGCCUUUAUUUGACGGUAAUCAACCAGAAAGUCACGGCUAACUACGUGCCAGCAGCCGCGGUAAUACGUAGGUGGCAAGCGUUGUCCGGAUUUAUUGGGCGUAAAGCGAGCGCAGGCGGAAAAAUAAGUCUAAUGUGAAAGCCCUCGGCUUAACCGAGGAACUGCAUCGGAAACUGUUUUUCUUGAGUGCAGAAGAGGAGAGUGGAACUCCAUGUGUAGCGGUGGAAUGCGUAGAUAUAUGGAAGAACACCAGUGGCGAAGGCGGCUCUCUGGUCUGCAACUGACGCUGAGGCUCGAAAGCAUGGGUAGCGAACAGGAUUAGAUACCCUGGUAGUCCAUGCCGUAACGAUGAGUGCUUAGUGU